This 253-nucleotide ribosomal RNA is filed under the name uncultured bacterium. Its description in RNAcentral is "partial 16S ribosomal RNA". It matches the Rfam family "Bacterial small subunit ribosomal RNA", at positions 524 to 776 of the family's 1533-position model. The record is from RNAcentral.
UACAGAGGGUGCAAGCGUUGUUCGGAAUUAUUGGGCGUAAAGCGCGUGUAGGCGGCUUUGCAAGUCGGGUGUGAAAUCCCUCAGCUCAACUGAGGAAGUGCGCCCGAAACUGCAGAGCUUGAGUACCGGAGAGGAUGGCGGAAUUCUCGGUGUAGCAGUGAAAUGCGUAGAUAUCGAGAGGAACACCAGUGGCGAAGGCGAGUCUCUGGACGACUCCUGACACUGAGGCACGAAAGCUAGGGGAGCAAACAGG